Syngnathoides biaculeatus (alligator pipefish) is the source of this 615-nucleotide long non-coding RNA. RefSeq lists it as uncharacterized. The record is from RefSeq and is a predicted model, not a curated record. The transcript has 4 exons. Lineage: Eukaryota; Metazoa; Chordata; Actinopteri; Syngnathiformes; Syngnathidae.
CCGGCCGAUGCCGCCCAGCUCAUUCGCAGAAGAAGCUGCAGUACGCUGAAACGUAUCGCGGAUGAGAACUGUUUGCAGAUGCUAUUUAUGUGCUGUGAACUAAACGUGUAUUCUGUGCUGUUUACAGGACCCAGGGGACGACUGGUCUUCGCCAGAUCGUCGCCUCGCAUGCCUCGUUCCCACACUUCCGCAGUCCUGAUGCCAACCUCCCGUGUACCGACCAACGGCUGUCUCCCGACCUACCCUUGUGUAUACCAUGGAUGACCUGAAAGCUUACGAGAGCAUGGAUGCAUACAAUCAGUUUGUGUGUGGCUGGGAUCGCCAUGUGGGAGCUGUUGUCAGAAAUGGAUACCACCUGGUCAGUGGAAAGGUUCUCCAUUCCCAAGAAUUGCAAGAAAAGCCCCUUCGGCCUUGGGUGAUUGCUAAACUAAGUGUGAAAAUUGUUGCUGCACAUUGGGACUUCAAGCCUGGCCUGGGAGAAGUUCACAUGUUGUAGCACUGCUGUUUUGGGUUGAAGCCAACAUCAGGAUACGGGACUCAGACUGUCACGUAAGAGAAAGCAUACUGGAAGUUGCCAAUGCCUGCUCAAAAGUAGUCCAUACAAAAAAUAAAAAA